This 1346-nucleotide ribosomal RNA is filed under the name uncultured bacterium. Its description in RNAcentral is "partial 16S ribosomal RNA". It matches the Rfam family "Bacterial small subunit ribosomal RNA", at positions 28 to 1381 of the family's 1533-position model. The record is from RNAcentral.
GACGAACGCUGGCGGCGUGCUUAACACAUGCAAGUCGAACGGAAAGGCCCUGCUUUUGUGGGGUGCUCGAGUGGCGAACGGGUGAGUAACACGUGAGUAACCUGCCCUUGACUUUGGGAUAACUUCAGGAAACUGGGGCUAAUACCGGAUAGGAGCUCCUGCUGCAUGGUGGGGGUUGGAAAGUUUCGGCGGUUGGGGAUGGACUCGCGGCUUAUCAGCUUGUUGGUGGGGUAGUGGCUUACCAAGGCUUUGACGGGUAGCCGGCCUGAGAGGGUGACCGGCCACAUUGGGACUGAGAUACGGCCCAGACUCCUACGGGAGGCAGCAGUGGGGAAUAUUGCACAAUGGGCGGAAGCCUGAUGCAGCAACGCCGCGUGCGGGAUGACGGCCUUCGGGUUGUAAACCGCUUUCGCCUGUGACGAAGCGUGAGUGACGGUAAUGGGUAAAGAAGCACCGGCUAACUACGUGCCAGCAGCCGCGGUGAUACGUAGGGUGCGAGCGUUGUCCGGAUUUAUUGGGCGUAAAGGGCUCGUAGGUGGUUGAUCGCGUCGGAAGUGUAAUCUUGGGGCUUAACCCUGAGCGUGCUUUCGAUACGGGUUGACUUGAGGAAGGUAGGGGAGAAUGGAAUUCCUGGUGGAGCGGUGGAAUGCGCAGAUAUCAGGAGGAACACCAGUGGCGAAGGCGGUUCUCUGGGCCUUUCCUGACGCUGAGGAGCGAAAGCGUGGGGAGCGAACAGGCUUAGAUACCCUGGUAGUCCACGCUGUAAACGGUGGGUACUAGGUGUGGGGUCCAUUCCACGGGUUCCGUGCCGUAGCUAACGCUUUAAGUACCCCGCCUGGGGAGUACGGCCGCAAGGCUAAAACUCAAAGGAAUUGACGGGGCCCCGCACAAGCGGCGGAGCAUGCGGAUUAAUUCGAUGCAACGCGUAGAACCUUACCUGGGUUUGACAUGGAUCGGGAGUGCUCAGAGAUGGGUGUGCCUCUUUUGGGGUCGGUUCACAGGUGGUGCAUGGCUGUCGUCAGCUCGUGUCGUGAGAUGUUGGGUUAAGUCCCGCAACGAGCGCAACCCUUGUUCACUGUUGCCAGCACGUUAUGGUGGGGACUCAGUGGAGACCGCCGGGGUCAACUCGGAGGAAGGUGGGGAUGACGUCAAGUCAUCAUGCCCCUUAUGUCCAGGGCUUCACGCAUGCUACAAUGGCUGGUACAGAGAGUGGCGAGCCUGUGAGGGUGAGCGAAUCUCGGAAAGCCGGUCUCAGUUCGGAUUGGGGUCUGCAACUCGACCUCAUGAAGUCGGAGUCGCUAGUAAUCGCAGAUCAGCAACGCUGCGGUGAAUACAAUCCCGGGGCU